GAGGGGUCAGAUGUUGUCUAGAAAAUGUCACCAACCAUUGUGGCAAUGGCAGAACGGAGCUAGAGAUUCUGUGAGAAGAAUGCAGUGUAUGGAAGAUGCAACCAAAGAUUGACUUCAGUUCAAACAAGUUCUGUCUGUGGCCCUCUGACGAAGGAGCUGUCAGCACAGCAUAUGUAUCCAGUAAUCUCAAAAUCAGCGAAAG
Molecule: long non-coding RNA, 202 nt
Organism: Apus apus (common swift)
Lineage: Eukaryota; Metazoa; Chordata; Aves; Apodiformes; Apodidae
Exons: 3
Source: RefSeq, a predicted model, not a curated record